This is a long non-coding RNA of Magnolia sinica, 829 nucleotides long. RefSeq lists it as uncharacterized. The transcript is spliced from 2 exons. The record is from RefSeq and is a predicted model, not a curated record. Lineage: Eukaryota; Viridiplantae; Streptophyta; Magnoliopsida; Magnoliales; Magnoliaceae.
UGUUCUAAACUGCUUCUCUUGUCAUGGGUUUUCAAAUUUCUGAUGUUUUCUUAUGUCCGGUUGUGCCGGUUGAAGUGAUGUGAAAAAUUUUGCAUGGCAUGUUUGAGCAAUCUCGGUUAACAAUAGGAUUGAGUGGGUAUUGUGAGGAGAUGAUGGUAUGUGAUGACCUGCCCUGAGUUUUUGGGCUACAGGACAUGAUGGGGCCUAGAGAAGGAUGAAAAACUAUUCUCAUUUCUGUCACAACAUGUGCAGCCUUCUGUCAAAGAUUAGACAAAGGUUUUUAGACUGGUGUCAUGGCAUCAAAACAGCUGCUGGCACGCAGGCUACGAUGAAGAUAACCACGAGCCAUCGAUCAUGAAGAUCAAUGCUGAGCCAUAUGAUAUCUGCAGUCACUCAUGUUUAUUGGCCCAUCGGCAUCCAGCUUAUUUUCUAUCAGCAUAACAUAUCGCCCUUUGUUCACCCCACGAAGCAGUUCUUUGAUGGAAUAUCAGUCGUCGAUGGAAGUGCAAUGGCAGUGCUUGGGAACGUCACCAGAAACAGGACCCAGCAGUUCUCAGUCUCCUGAGAAGCUAUGGAAGGAACUUGGUUGAAACCCUUGUACGGUGCCAUAGAUUUCUUUAGAAGAUUCAUCAAAUGCACUGGUUGGCUCUUCAUCCCUCUCUGCCGCAGAUUUCUUUAGAAGAUUCUGUGCAGUACUUGUAUGGUAGCCUGAGUAAGGUGUUCUCGAUACGGUUCAGAACUGAACUGGCUCGAUUGUCUAACUGAACUAAUGUAACCAAAAGCACUACAACUUAUAAUGCUCCCAGAGCAAUGGGGCGUUUCUCUUUUA